This 468-nucleotide ribosomal RNA is filed under the name uncultured Treponema sp. Its description in RNAcentral is "bacterial SSU rRNA". It matches the Rfam family "Bacterial small subunit ribosomal RNA", at positions 338 to 797 of the family's 1533-position model. The record is from RNAcentral. Lineage: Bacteria; Pseudomonadati; Spirochaetota; Spirochaetia; Treponematales; Treponemataceae.
CCUACGGGAGGCAGCAGCUAAGAAUAUUCCGCAAUGGACGAAAGUCUGACGGAGCGACGCCGCGUGGAUGAAGAAGGCCGAAAGGUUGUAAAAUCCUUUUGUCGAUGAAGAAUAAGCAUGGGAGGGAAUGCCCGUGUGAUGACGUUAGUCGGCGAAUAAGCCCCGGCUAAUUACGUGCCAGCAGCCGCGGUAACACGUAAGGGGCGAGCGUUGUUCGGAAUUAUUGGGCGUAAAGGGCGCGUAGGCGGUCCUGUAAGCCCGGCGUGAAAACCUGGAGCUCAACUCCGGGCCUGCGCUGGGAACUGCGGGACUAGAGUCAUGGAAGGGAAGUUGGAAUUCCAGGUGUAGGGGUGAAAUCUGUAGAUAUCUGGAAGAACACCGGUGGCGAAGGCGAACUUCUGGCCAAUGACUGACGCUGAGGCGCGAAAGUGCGGGGAGCAAACAGGAUUAGAUACCCCGGUAGUCACG